Molecule: ribosomal RNA, 165 nt
Filed under: uncultured Novosphingobium sp.
Lineage: Bacteria; Pseudomonadati; Pseudomonadota; Alphaproteobacteria; Sphingomonadales; Sphingomonadaceae
Description: partial 16S ribosomal RNA
Rfam family: Bacterial small subunit ribosomal RNA
Source: RNAcentral
GGGAGGCAGCAGUGGGGAAUAUUGGACAACUGGCGCAGCCUGAUCCAGCAUGCCGCGUGAGUGAUGAAGGCCUUAGGGUUGUAAAGCUCUUUUACCCGGGAUGAUAAUGACAGUACCGGGAGAAUAAGCUCCGGCUAACUCCGUGCCAGCAGCCGCGGUAAUAGA